Molecule: small RNA, 178 nt
Filed under: Enterococcus cecorum
Lineage: Bacteria; Bacillati; Bacillota; Bacilli; Lactobacillales; Enterococcaceae
Description: Listeria sRNA rli28
Rfam family: Listeria sRNA rli28
Source: RNAcentral
AAUAAGCUCAUAAGGUUAGUAAAGUUAAAGACGGUUAGCAAUUCUCAUUUCUGGGGGUGGUGCUUAUGAGUGUAACAACUCUUACUCACAUUCUGAAGAAAGGAAAUUGCACAAUGUCAGUUUAUGAAGCACUAAGUUUAAUGAUUGCAUUCGCGACGUUAAUCGUGCUAGUGAACAA